UACGUAUGGUGCAAGCGUUAUCCGGAUUUACUGGGCGUAAAGGGAGCGCAGGUGGCGCGCCAAGUCUGAUGUGAAACCCCGGGGCUCAACCCCGGGCAUGCAUUGGAAACUGGCGGGCUGGAGUGCCGGAGAGGUAAGCGGAAUUCCUAGUGUAGCGGUGAAAUGCGUAGAUAUUAGGAGGAACACCAGUGGCGAAGGCGGCUUACUGGACGGCAACUGACGCUGAGGCUCGAAAGCGUGGGGAGCAAACAGG
Molecule: ribosomal RNA, 253 nt
Filed under: uncultured bacterium
Lineage: Bacteria
Description: partial 16S ribosomal RNA
Rfam family: Bacterial small subunit ribosomal RNA
Source: RNAcentral